RNAcentral lists this unclassified non-coding RNA (250 nucleotides) under plant metagenome. RNAcentral's name for it is "partial contains small subunit ribosomal RNA, internal transcribed spacer 1, and 5.8S ribosomal RNA". The stretch from base 201 to 250 matches the Rfam family "5.8S ribosomal RNA", at positions 1 to 50 of the family's 154-position model. The record is from RNAcentral.
GUAGGUGAACCUGCGGAAGGAUCAUUAAAAGAGUUAGGGUCCCCUCGGGGGCCCGACCCUCCAACCCUUUGUGAACAUACCGUGUUGCUUUGGCGGGCCCGGGCCCUAGGCCCCGCCGGCUUCGGUUGGUGCGCGCCCGUCAGAGACCCAUACAAACUCGUUUGAAACCAUGUAGUCUGAGUAAAUAUUAAAUAGCUAAAAACUUUCAACAACGGAUCUCUUGGUUCUGGCAUCGAUGAAGAACGCAGCA